This 68-nucleotide transfer RNA is filed under the name Rattus norvegicus (Norway rat). It matches the Rfam family "tRNA". Rfam says of the family: Transfer RNA (tRNA) molecules are approximately 80 nucleotides in length. Their secondary structure includes four short double-helical elements and three loops (D, anti-codon, and T loops). Further hydrogen bonds mediate the characteristic L-shaped molecular structure. tRNAs have two regions of fundamental functional importance: the anti-codon, which is responsible for specific mRNA codon recognition, and the 3' end, to which the tRNAs corresponding amino acid is attached (by aminoacyl-tRNA synthetases). tRNAs cope with the degeneracy of the genetic code in two manners: having more than one tRNA (with a specific anti-codon) for a particular amino acid; and 'wobble' base-pairing, i.e. permitting non-standard base-pairing at the 3rd anti-codon position. The record is from Rfam by way of RNAcentral. Lineage: Eukaryota; Metazoa; Chordata; Mammalia; Rodentia; Muridae.
GGAGUUUAGCUCAGUGGUAGAGCACUUGCCUAGCAAGCACAAGGCCCUGGGUUCGGUCCCCAGCUCCG